This 400-nucleotide ribosomal RNA is filed under the name uncultured bacterium. RNAcentral's name for it is "bacterial SSU rRNA". It matches the Rfam family "Bacterial small subunit ribosomal RNA", at positions 357 to 774 of the family's 1533-position model. The record is from RNAcentral.
GGGAAUCUUGCACAAUGGGGGCAACCCUGAUGCAGCGACGCCGCGUGAGCGAUGAAGCCCUUCGGGGCGUAAAGCUCUUUCGACCGGAACGAUAAUGACGGUACCGGGAGAAGAAGCUGCGGCUAACUACGUGCCAGCAGCCGCGGUAAUACGUAGGCAGCAAGCGUUGUUCGGAGUUACUGGGCGUAAAGAGUGCGUAGGCGGUUUUCUAAGUUCGGUGUGGAAUCUCCCGGCUUAACUGGGAGGGUGCGCCGAAGACUGGGAAGGUGGAGUGUGGGAAAGGCAGGCGGAAUUCCUGGUGUAGCGGUGAAAUGCGUAGAUAUCAGGAGGAACACCGGCGGUGUAUACGGCUUGCUAGACCAUAACUGACGCUGAGGCACGAAAGCGUGGGUAGCAAACA